CCUACGGGUGGCAGCAGUGAGGAAUAUUGGUCAAUGGGCGCGAGCCUGAACCAGCCAAGUAGCGUGAAGGAUGACUGCCCUAUGGGUUGUAAACUUCUUUUAUAUGGGAAUAAAAUGUUCCACGUGUGGCUUUUUGUAUGUACCAUAUGAAUAAGGAUCGGCUAACUCCGUGCCAGCAGCCGCGGUAAUACGGAGGAUCCGAGCGUUAUCCGGAUUUAUUGGGUUUAAAGGGAGCGUAGGUGGGUUGUUAAGUCAGUUGUGAAAGUUUGCGGCUCAACCGUAAAAUUGCAGUUGAAACUGGCAGUCUUGAGUACAGUAGAGGUAGGCGGAAUUCGUGGUGUAGCGGUGAAAUGCUUAGAUAUCACGAAGAACUCCGAUUGCGAAGGCAGCUCACUGGACUGCAACUGACACUGAGGCUCGAAAGUGUGGGUAUCAAACAGGAUUAGAUACCCGAGUAGUC
RNAcentral lists this ribosomal RNA (460 nucleotides) under uncultured bacterium. Its description in RNAcentral is "partial 16S ribosomal RNA". It matches the Rfam family "Bacterial small subunit ribosomal RNA", at positions 338 to 795 of the family's 1533-position model. The record is from RNAcentral.